Molecule: ribosomal RNA, 492 nt
Filed under: uncultured bacterium
Lineage: Bacteria
Description: partial 16S ribosomal RNA
Rfam family: Bacterial small subunit ribosomal RNA
Source: RNAcentral
AGUGAACGCUGGCGGUAGGCCUAACACAUGCAAGUCGAACGGCAGCACAGUAAGAGCUUGCUCUUACGGGUGGCGAGUGGCGGACGGGUGAGGAAUACAUCGGAAUCUACUUUUUCGUGGGGGAUAACGUAGGGAAACUUACGCUAAUACCGCAUACGACCUACGGGUGAAAGCAGGGGAUCUUCGGACCUUGCGCGAUUGAAUGAGCCGAUGUCGGAUUAGCUAGUUGGCGGGGUAAAGGCCCACCAAGGCGACGAUCCGUAGCUGGUCUGAGAGGAUGAUCAGCCACACUGGAACUAAGACACGGUCCAGACUCCUACGGGAGGCAGCAGUGGGGAAUAUUGGACAAUGGGCGCAAGCCUGAUCCAGCCAUACCGCGUGGGUGAAGAAGGCCUUCGGGUUGUAAAGCCCUUUUGUUGGGAAAGAAAAGCAGCAGGUUAAUACCCCGCUGUGCUGACGGUACCCAAAGAAUAAGCACCGGCUAACUUCGUG